This 222-nucleotide unclassified non-coding RNA is filed under the name Hevea brasiliensis (rubber tree). Lineage: Eukaryota; Viridiplantae; Streptophyta; Magnoliopsida; Malpighiales; Euphorbiaceae. The record is from RNAcentral.
GGGACUCAGAUGUAGAAUCGAUGACUGAUGGUCAUGACAAUGCUACUGCUUACGGAUACAACCAUGUCUUUGAGGAACCUGCAAUGGGUUGGGCUCGAUUCGCGCACACGAUGCGUAUCUGGGUUUAUAACUCAGGCUUCUUCUAUAUUAGACCAACUAUUCCUGCAAUUGAGCUUUUAGAUCGUGUGGCUAGCCGGCUUUCACGAGAACAGAACUCCUCGG